Long non-coding RNA from Malaya genurostris, 689 nucleotides. RefSeq lists it as uncharacterized. The transcript has 3 exons. The record is from RefSeq and is a predicted model, not a curated record. Lineage: Eukaryota; Metazoa; Arthropoda; Insecta; Diptera; Culicidae.
UAUUGACAAUACUUUUGAUCAUGUAGUGGAAACUUCAUCGGAUUGACGAAAAUAUUGUCAAAAAAUCAAAACUGCUCAUCAAUCCGACAAUACUUUCUCUCCAGAGAGAAAACUGUCACAUAUAUGCAAUGAAAACAUCUCUCAAUAUUCGCGACUACGAAGUUGAGUUUGACAGCUUAUGUGUGUGAAGUGGAAGUAAACAAGCAAGAGAAAAAAGUGAUAAAUUUUCAAACGUACCGUUUUCCUCGAUUUUAGUUUUGCUGUUUGAAAUGGAGCCUUCAAAAGAUGUUACGUACACUGUGUUGAUGAACUUGUCGGAAGAUUUUAGCUACGCUGCCGGAGGAAACCGUUUGGAUAGUUGGAGUAGAUGAGAUCUACAAUUAUGGAUUUGGCUUAUUUUCGACUCCAAGUGUCGAGCCGCACACAAUCAAAGUUUGUACUAGAAGUGAACGCUCUGCUUGGUUAUUUGCAUGUACUUGCAAAACCAGUGAAGGAAAAUGCAAACAUGUGAUAGCUGUUUUGAAUCAUUUAUUGAGAAACUCAAAGCUCAAAAGAACGAUUAACAUCCAACGAGAUUAAAACGAGCGGCAGUCGGAUAUUCCGAACUGAUAACAUCAAGUUUGAGGACAUUUGACAUUUAUUUAUUAAUUAUGUUUUAUUGUCAGAUGAAUAAAUUUAAUAUACAUAAA